RNAcentral lists this ribosomal RNA (877 nucleotides) under uncultured eukaryote. RNAcentral describes it as "SSU rRNA". It matches the Rfam family "Eukaryotic small subunit ribosomal RNA", at positions 636 to 1469 of the family's 1831-position model. The record is from RNAcentral.
CGGUGUUCAACUGGCGUGUCCGCGGGACGUCCUGCCGGUGGGCUUAGCCCGCAAGGGCGGCCCAACUUCAAAUCCCAUCGCGGUGCUCUUCACUGAGUGUCGAGGUGGGCCGGCACGUUUACUUUGAACAAAUUAGAGUGCUUAAAGCAGGCUAAAACUUCGCCUGAAUACUGUGUGCAUGGAAUAAUGGAAUAGGACCUCGGUUCUAUUUUGUUGGUUUUCGGAACCCCGAGGUAAUGAUUAAUAGGAACGGAUGGGGGCAUUCGUAUUGCGACGUUAGAGGUGAAAUUCUUGGAUCGUCGCAAGACGGACAGAAGCGAAAGCAUUUGCCAAAAACGCUUUCAUUGAUCAAGAACGAAAGUUAGAGGUUCGAAGGCGAUCAGAUACCGCCCUAGUUCUAACCAUAAACGAUGCCAGCUAGCGAUCCGUCGACGUUCCUCCGAUGACUCGACGGGCAGCUUCCGGGAAACCAAAGCUUUUGGGUUCCGGGGGAAGUAUGGUUGCAAAGCUGAAACUUAAAGGAAUUGACGGAAGGGCACCACCAGGAGUGGAGCCUGCGGCUUAAUUUGACUCAACACGGGAAACCUCACCAGGCCCGGACACCGGAAGGAUUGACAGAUUGAGAGCUCUUUCUUGAUUCGGUGGGCGGUGGUGCAUGGCCGUUCUUAGUUGGUGGAGCGAUUUGUCUGGUUAAUUCCGAUAACGAACGAGACUCUAGCCUGCUAACUAGGCGUAUUUUCGACAUCUCAAAGGUCCGUCGUCCCGGCCCUCGGGUCGUGGGCGUGCGCGAUUUUUACUGUCGGCGUACUAUCAAUUCUUCUUAGAGGGACAGGUGGCUUCUAGCCGCACGAGAUUGAGCAAUAACAGGUCUGUGAUG